AUCCUGGAGCGCCCAGGCUUCCGAGGGGCAGACGGCGGGACCCGCUCCGGGCUGAGGUCCUGGCGGGUGAGCAGGAUCUUCGCCGUGCGGCGCGGAGGGUGACAGUGGAGAAGGUGACCAGAAGCCAGAAGGAGCCUAUGUGAAAGAUUUGGUGGCAGUGGUGGGAUCCAAAGGAAACUUCUGACAGCUUUGACGGCAAUGAGAAACACAACCCCCCAGUACAUAGUUGUAUAUUCUUCGUUGUGGGUCCUUCUAGUUGUGGCAUGUGGGACUCUGCCUCAGCGUGGUUUGAUGAGCAGU
This 300-nucleotide long non-coding RNA is filed under the name Equus caballus (horse). Its description in RNAcentral is "lncRNA (ENSECAG00000054587.1)". The record is from RNAcentral. Lineage: Eukaryota; Metazoa; Chordata; Mammalia; Perissodactyla; Equidae.